Molecule: small nuclear RNA, 107 nt
Organism: Octodon degus (degu)
Lineage: Eukaryota; Metazoa; Chordata; Mammalia; Rodentia; Octodontidae
Source: Ensembl
GUGCCUGAUUUGGCAGUACAUGUACUAAAAUUAGAAUGAGACAGAGAAGAUUAGCAUGGCCCCUGCACAAGGAUGACACGUGAAUUCAUGAAGUGUUUCAUAUUUUU